Tribolium castaneum (red flour beetle) is the source of this 1065-nucleotide RNA transcript. RefSeq lists it as uncharacterized. The transcript has 3 exons. NCBI's taxonomy places the organism in Eukaryota, Metazoa, Arthropoda, Insecta, Coleoptera, Tenebrionidae. The record is from RefSeq and is a predicted model, not a curated record.
AAAUUCGCAAUUGUGAAAUAAUUGCCCCACAUUUUUCAUUUGGGUUUCGAUGAGGCGAUCUAAAUCACUACAACUAAAAGUCUCUAGUUUGUAAAUAAGAUGCGACAUUGAACACAAAAAACUACAACGUGAAUUUAAUUUUAUAAAUUUAGGGUGGCUGCACGUGUCAAGCAGCAAACCCAUUCUGUAUAAAAACAAACCCAUACCUACUUUCUUAUGAUAGGUUACAAAAAUUAAACUUACUAUAAUAUAAUUUUAAAAAUAACAGUCUGCCUUAUUUAUCUAACACCAUGGAUUGAACUUAUCUGUUUGUCAGAUAAAUAAUUUUCCAACUUUUGUUGUUUAGCUGUAAAUAACAAUUUGUUGUCGUGCCCUUACUUUUUGCAAACAUACACAUAUUAAAGCCAAUUACAACUUGUUUUGGUAUAACUUCUUUACUGUAAGAUGUUACGGUUUAUCUAUCUUCUGUCUAUUUUCCUCUUAAGUAAUAGUCAGCAAUGCUUAUGUCUUCAAUAUGACUAUUUUUGGCGAGAUUACAUUGAUGGUGAAGUUCCCAGAGAUGCGAUAGUCGCAGGCCGAAAUAACAACAGUGAAAAUAUUUACAUUGGGCAAGCAUACGUACAUAAACUAGGCCUCGCAACUUGUGAAAUUUUCUCUGGAGUAAAAGAAGUCUACGUUCCGAUGUAUGGAAUCCAAAAAGUAGAAGACUAUAUAAAAAUACUCUGUGGAACUCAACAAAACUUGUAUUGGAUGUCUACUACAUCUACUAGCCUUCCCACAUUACUUCUGGAUCAUGUUGCGGUGAUUGGUGGGAAUGAAGAUGGACAAAAUGGUAAAGGAACACUUUACGUUGGACGGAUACAUUUUAAUGGAGAAUUAAAAAUAGGAAAAAUUGAUACGUUCAAUGGUACCUUCAUCCAUUUCAACAAUAAUAUGAAGGAGGAACAUUCCAACUCAUACGAAAUACUUUUAUUAAAAAAAUAAUCAUGAGUAAUUUCUUAUGUGUACGCCUUUCCUCGCAAUUGAAGACAAUUAAUUUAAGCAAGAUGAAUAAAAGUUUUUAUU